Papaver somniferum (opium poppy) is the source of this 2993-nucleotide RNA transcript. It is a transcript of the gene named nucleolar complex protein 2 homolog, with no coding region annotated. The record is from RefSeq and is a predicted model, not a curated record. NCBI's taxonomy places the organism in Eukaryota, Viridiplantae, Streptophyta, Magnoliopsida, Ranunculales, Papaveraceae. The transcript is spliced from 13 exons.
ACCAUCGCUUCCCUGUAAACCCUAACUUGUACUAAACCCCUCUUUCAUCUUCGUUCUCCUUCUGAAACCCUAGCUAAGCAAAUUGAGACCAAAAAUGUCGAAACUCGGGAAGAAAGCGAGGAAAUUCGCCAAGAAACAUCUUCCCUCUGUGAUGAAGAAGAGGCGAAAGCAAAAGGCUAUGUUUAAAAAGAAACCAAGAGGAGAGAAGAAAGAUGGUCCUACACAUAAAACUCUUCCUAAAAAGGAUUUAGAAGUUGAAAAUUAUGAAGAUGAUGUAGCUGUUGGAGAUGUUUCACUCGUGCCUGUAUUCGAUGGGUAUGAAACCGAUGAAUCAAUUGAAGAUGGUUCUGAUAGUGAUGAAUUUCUUCCAGAGACCUUUCAAGGUGCGUAUGAUGCUGCAGGCGAAAGCGACGAUGAAUCAGAUGAGGGCAAUGAUAGGCCUUUACAGGCGCAGAACAAGGAACUUCGUUUGGAACUUGCCAAGCAAAAGAAGAAAUUGGACCGCCUGAUCGAAAAGGAUCCAGAAUUUGCAGAAUUUUUGGAAGCUCGUGCUGAUGAACUUGAGCAAGAUAGUGAUUAUGGUGAUUCUGAUGAAGAAGCCGAAACUAGUGACCAGGAUAUGGUGGAAGCUGAUUCCAGCAUUGGCAAGCCUUUGACUACUGCAAUAAUUGAUUCCUGGUGUCGACUGAUUUUAGAGGAAAAGAACUUGUUUGUUCUUCCUAAUCUGUUGAAUGCAUACCGAGCUGCCUGUCAGUAUGGAUCUGGUGAUGCCAUCGAUGCAAUCUCACAGAGAAUUCAAAGUAGCAAGACGUUUGUUAAGAUAGUGAACUUUACCCUUCGUGAAGCCGAUAACAUAUUUCGAACACAUUUAGAAAUCCCGAGCCCUGACUGCGAGAAGCAUACUGUUCUGGGGUUGAAGAAAACUCAAAAAUGGAAAGACUCAGAGCCUCUGAUUCAGUCUUAUCUGAGUAGUACAAUUAUCUUUCUCAACCAUGUUACUGACUCUGAGAUACUUGCAUUCGCUCUAACCCGUCUGAGAGCUUCGACCAUAUUCUUUGCUGCAUUUCCGUCACUACUGAAGAAACUCAUCAAGGUGGCAGUUCAUCUCUGGGCAACUGGGGAAGGAAAAGUUCCAUCUGCAGCAUUUCUUAUCAUGCGUGAUGCUGCUACACAGUUGAGUUUAAACUGUCUCGAGUCCUGCUUGAUAAAAACAUACAAGGCCUUUAUUGCACGAAGCAAGUUUUUGGAGCCCACAAAUUUGUUACACAUAAAAUUUCUUGCGGACUCCCUUGUCGAGCUUUACUCUCUAGAUGUUCCGAGAUCAUGUAGCAAGGCAUUGGUAUCUAUCCAGCAACUAGCCACAAUUUUACGGCAGUGCCUACACACGAAGGAAAAGGAAACAAUGGAGAAGAUAUAUAGCUGGCAAUACAUCAAUUGUGUGGAUUUGUGGGUUAAGUAUGUCUGCGCAAACGUUGAAGAUAAUGACCUUCAGUUGUUGGUGUACUUAAUUGUUCAAAUCAUUAAUGGAGUGGUUCACCUUUUUUCUGGACCACGACACUUGCCUCUGAGAGUAAAAUGCAUUCAAAUGCUCAAUCAGAUUUCAAGUGCUUCUAGGGACUUCAUCCCUGUGACAUCCUUGGUGCUCGACUCUUUGGAGUACAUUGGAACUGGCAAGGCAGAUGCAAAAUCUGCAAAACCCUUUGACAUGUCAUUUGCACUAAAGGUCCCAAAGCAGUGGCUAAAAUCACGUCUCUUCCAAGAAGAGUGUGUCUUAUCUGUAAUUGAGCGGCUUUCAGCUCACUUUGCUCAGUGGAGCUACCAUAUAUCAUUUCCUGAGCUGGCAGCGAUUCCCCUAAUUCGUCUAAGAAAGUUCAAUGAGAAGACUACUGUUGAAAGUCUUCGACGUCCCGUGAAACGUCUAAUAGAUAUGGUUGAGCAGAAUGUUGAGUUUGUGAACAAGAAAAGAGAGGAAGUCGCCUUUUCACCAAAAGAUAAGGCAGCCGUUGACUCUUUUCUUCAGGAGAUCAAAGUGGACAGCAAGCAGACUCCUUUUACUCAAUACUAUACUGAUAUCAUUAAACAAAGCCUCUCCAGAAGUUCGGUCAUGCAAAGUAAACCAGCACAGAAGAAAUCGAAGAAAGGGAAGGCCGGUGUUCCCAAAAAGAGCACAAAUAAGGAGAAUGGGGAGAAAAGCUCGGAUUCAACCCAGAGUGGGAUAAUAGAGGGAAGAAAAAGGAAGAAAGGAAGCGAUGAGAGCAGUGAAUCAGCUCCAAAGAAAUCAACCCUAGAGGAAAAGUUGACAAUAGUUAACCACGACAACGCCACCACUGAGGAUAGUGCAACAGAUGUUUCCAAACAAGCAAAAGCCGAUCCAGUGGUUCAGAAGUCUAAUGGGAGAAGAGACGUAAGAAAAGUGAAGAAGUUGAAAACCCAAGGAUGAGCAAUAUCAUAUUCGCGAUGUUUUUUCUUUUGUAUCCUGCAAAAUAUGAAUCAAUUAGGUGGUAGCUUAAUGAAGACCUACCUCCAUUCCAGGGGUCAAUUUUUCAGUAAUAACUGUUGCCAUGCCAGGAGCCAAGGAGCAAAAAUGUGGCAGGCAAGUCAUGCUCACUCAUACAAAGUUAGCAUCUCAAUGUACUUGAAAAAAUAACCAUCACAGCAAACCGCUUUGACAGCAAGGCCAUGUGCACCACCACCACCGUCCCCAGUAACAUACAAUUUCCGUCCGUUCGAGAUGCUUCGUUUCCGAUUUUGGGGAGCAAACACUCUACCGUUCGAUUGUACCUUGUUUCAAUAAUCUAAUGACACGUAUAUUACGCGUCAAAAUUUAAUUUCGAAAAAUAAGGAAGAAAUAUUGAAAUUUGCUAACGACACUUGUGUGCAACAAUGAACCUGUUUUUGUGCUUCCUCCUUCAUUCUCCAGUUAGAGUGUUGUGAUUGAAACAAUUUUGUUUACUUUUGGGAACAGGGUUUUCUUCAGAAUAGAUGAAGCAAUC